AGUGAACGCUGGCGGUAGGCCUAACACAUGCAAGUCGAACGGCAGCACAGGAGAGCUUGCUCUCUGGGUGGCGAGUGGCGGACGGGUGAGGAAUACAUCGGAAUCUACUCUGUCGUGGGGGAUAACGUAGGGAAACUUACGCUAAUACCGCAUACGACCUACGGGUGAAAGCAGGGGACCUUCGGGCCUUGCGCGAUUGAAUGAGCCGAUGUCGGAUUAGCUAGUUGGCGGGGUAAAGGCCCACCAAGGCGACGAUCCGUAGCUGGUCUGAGGAGAGGGUCAGCCACACUGGAACUGAGACACGGUCCAGACUCCUACGGGAGGCAGCAGUGGGGAAUAUUGGACAAUGGGCGGAAGCCUGAUCCAGCCGUACCGCGUGGGUGAAGAAGGCCUUCGGGUUGUAAAGCCCUUUUGUUGGGAAAGAAAUCCAGCUGGCGAAUACCCGGUUGGGAUGACGGUACCCAAAGAAUAAGCACCGGCUAACUUCGUGCCAGCAGCCGCAGUAA
This 506-nucleotide ribosomal RNA is filed under the name uncultured bacterium. RNAcentral describes it as "partial 16S ribosomal RNA". It matches the Rfam family "Bacterial small subunit ribosomal RNA", at positions 29 to 523 of the family's 1533-position model. The record is from RNAcentral.